GACGGAAGGUGCAAGCGUUGCUCGGAAUCACUGGGCGUAAAGGGUGCGUAGGCGGCUUGGUAAGUUGGGUGUGAAAGCCCCGGGCUCAGCCCGGGAAGGGCACUCGAAACUGCCGUGCUGGAGUGCCGGAGGGGAGAGGGGAAUUCCUGGUGUAGCGGUGAAAUGCGUAGAUAUCAGGAGGAAUACCGGUGGCGAACGCGACUCUCUGGACGGCAACUGACACUCAAGCACGAAAGCGUGGGGAGCAAACAGG
RNAcentral lists this ribosomal RNA (253 nucleotides) under uncultured bacterium. RNAcentral's name for it is "partial 16S ribosomal RNA". It matches the Rfam family "Bacterial small subunit ribosomal RNA", at positions 524 to 776 of the family's 1533-position model. The record is from RNAcentral.